Molecule: long non-coding RNA, 296 nt
Filed under: Homo sapiens (human)
Lineage: Eukaryota; Metazoa; Chordata; Mammalia; Primates; Hominidae
Description: non-protein coding lnc-DTL-3:1
Source: RNAcentral
AGCAACUGGUCCUUCAGAGAAGGCUUACUGGAGGAAUGGGACUGGAACUGAGGUCUGAAGGAUGUGUAGAAAGUGAGAAGAAGAAAUUGGGAUUUUGGAUAUGGAAUGCUUUCAGUUUCAAAUGACAGAAACCUUACUCAGGCCAGAGGAAGCAAACCAGGGAACUGUAUAACUGGGACGACUGGGUGAAGCUGGCCUCAGACACACAAGCAUUCAGGCUCCCUGAGUCCUCACCAGAAGUAGAUGCUGGCGCCACACUUCCUGUACAGCCUUCAGAACCAUGAGCCAAAAUAAAC